Molecule: ribosomal RNA, 853 nt
Filed under: uncultured Gammaproteobacteria bacterium
Lineage: Bacteria; Pseudomonadati; Pseudomonadota; Gammaproteobacteria
Description: bacterial SSU rRNA
Rfam family: Bacterial small subunit ribosomal RNA
Source: RNAcentral
GACGCUGGCGGUAGGCUUAACACAUGCAAGUCGUGCGAGAAAGUAUCUUCGGAUAUGAGUAGAGCGGCGGACGGGUGAGUAACGCGUAGGAAUCUACCUAGUAGAAGGGGAUAGCCCGGGGAAACUCGGAUUAAUACCGUAUACCUCCUUCGGGAGAAAGAAGGCCUCUCUUUGAAGCUUUCGCUAUUAGAUGAGCCUGCGUAAGAUUAGCUUGUUGGUGAGGUAAAGGCUCACCAAGGCGACGAUCUUUAGCGGGUCUGAGAGGACGAUCCGCCACAUUGGGACUGAGACACGGCCCAGACUCCUACGGGAGGCAGCAGUGGGGAAUAUUGGACAAUGGGCGCAAGCCUGAUCCAGCCAUACCGCGUGUGUGAAGAAGGCCCUAGGGUUGUAAAGCACUUUAAGUUGGGAAGAAAAGUUAUUGGUUAAUAUCCAAUAACCGUGACAUUACCAUCAGAAUAAGGACCGGCUAAUUCCGUGCCAGCAGCCGCGGUAAUACGGAAGGUCCAAGCGUUAAUCGGAAUUACUGGGCGUAAAGCGCGCGUAGGUGGUUUAUUAAGUUGGAUGUGAAAUCCCCGGGCUCAACCUGGGAACUGCAUCCAAAACUGAUUCACUAGAGUACGAUAGAGGGAGGUAGAAUUCACAGUGUAGCGGUGGAAUGCGUAGAUAUUGUGAAGAAUACCAAUGGCGAAGGCAGCCUCCUGGAUCUGUACUGACACUGAGGUGCGAAAGCGUGGGUAGCGAACAGGAUUAGAUACCCUGGUAGUCCACGCCGUAAACGAUGUCAACUAGCUGUUGGAGAACUAUGUUCUUCAGUGGCGCAGCUAACGUAGUAAGUUGACCGCCUGGGGAG